This 2807-nucleotide long non-coding RNA is filed under the name Citrus x clementina. Its description in RNAcentral is "Citrus clementina (C. clementina) long non-coding RNA (CCLE_LNC000010)". The record is from RNAcentral. Lineage: Eukaryota; Viridiplantae; Streptophyta; Magnoliopsida; Sapindales; Rutaceae.
CCCACCAUUGCUAUAGCCCACCCGUUUUUUGGCCAUUUUUCCGCUGGUGUUGUUUUGGCACCACGACCUUCAGGCGCUUAUUUUUGGGCGCAGCUUUGCCCGCGGCUUAUUUUUGGCACCCCGAGGCCCCUCGCAAAGUCUCGCCGCAUUCCGAGUCCGGCGGACGAACUUCGCCCGCGCCCCCCACCAAGGCUAUAGCCCACCCGUUUUUUGGCCAUUUUUCCACUGGGGGGUUUUGGCACCACGACCUUCGGGCGCUUAUUUUUGGGCGCGGCUUUGCCCGCGGCUUAUUUUUGGCACCCCGAGGCCCCUCGCAAAGUCUCGCCGCAUUCCGAGUCCGGCGGACGAACUUCGCCCGCGCCCCCCACCAAGGCUAUAGCCCACCCGUUUUUUGGCCAUUUUUCCGCUGGGGGGUUUUGGCACCACCACCUUCGGGCGCUUAUUUUUGGGCGCGGCUUUGCCCGNNNNNNNNNNNNNNNNNNNNNNNNNNNNNNNNNNNNNNNNNNNNNNNNNNNNNNNNNNNNNNNNNNNNNNNNNNNNNNNNNNNNNNNNNNNNNNNNNNNNNCCGUUUUUUGGCCAUUUUUCCGCUGGGGGGUUUUGGCACCACGACCUUCGGGCGCUUAUUUUUGGGCGCGGCUUUGUCCGCGGCUUAUUUUUGGCACCGCGAGGCCCCUCGCAAAGUCUCGCCGCAUUCCGAGUCCGGCGGACGAACUUCGCCCGCGCCCCCCACCAAGGCUAUAGCCCACCCGUUUUUUGGCCAUUUUUCCGCUGGUGGGUUUUGGCGCCACGACCUUCGGGCUCUUAUUUUUGGGCGUGGAUUUGCCCGGGGCUUUGCCCGCGGCUUAUUUUUGGCACCCCGAGGCCCCUCGCAAAGUCUCGCCGCAUUCCGAGUCCGGCGGACGAACUUCGCCCGCGUCGCCCACCAAGGCUAUAGCCCACCCGUUUUUUGGCCAUUUUUCCACUGGGGGGUUUUGGCACCACGACCUUCGGGCGGUUAUUUUUGGGGGCGGCUUUGCCCGCGGCUUAGUUUUGGCACCCCGAGGCCCCUCGCAAAGUCUCGCCGCAUUCCGAGUCCGGCGGACGAACUUCGCCCGCGCCCCCCACCAAGGCUAUAGCCCACCCGUUUUUUGGCCAUUUUUCCGCUGGGGAGGUUUUGGCACCACCACCUUCGGGCGCUUAUUUUUAGGCACGGCUUUGCCCGCGGCUUAUUUUGGUACCGCGAGGCCCCUGGCAAAGUCUCGCCGCAUUCCGAGUCCUGCGACGAACUUCGCCCCGCCGCCCCCCACCAAGCUAUAGCCCACCCGUUUUUUGGCCAUUUUUCCGCUGGGGGGUUUUGGCACCACGACCUUCGGGCGCUUAUUUUUGGGCGCGGCUUCGCCCGCGGCUUAUUUUUGGAACCCCGAGGCCCCUCGCAAAGUCUCGCCGCAUUCCGAGUCCGGCGGACGAACUUCGCCCGCGUCCCCCACCAAGGCUAUAGCCCACCCGUUUUUUGGCCAUUUUUCCGCUGGGGGGUUUUGGCACCACGACCUUCGCGCGGUUAUUUUUGGGCGCGGCUUUGCCCGCGGCUUAUUUUUGGCACCGCGAGGCCCCUCGCAAAGUCUCGCCGCAUUCCGAGUCCGGCGGACGAACUUCGCCCGCGCCCCCCACCAAGGGUAUAGCCCAUCCGUUUUUUGGCCAUUUUUCCGCUGGGGGGUUUUGGCACCACGACCUUCGGGCGCUUAUUUUUGGGCGCGGCUUUCCCCGCGGCUUAUUUUUGGCACCCCGAGGCCCCUCGCAAAGUCUCGCCGCAUUCCGAGUCCGGCGGACGAACUUCACCCGCGCCCCCCACCAAGGCUAUAGCCCUCCUGUUUUUGGCCAUUUUUCCGCUGGGGGGUUUUGGAACCACAACUUUCGGGCGCUUAUUUUUGGGCACGGCUUUGCCCGCGGCUUAUUUUUGGCACCCCGAGGCCCCUCGUAAAGUCUCGCCGCAUUCCGAGUCCGGCGGACGUACUUCGCCCGCGCCCCCCACCAAGGCUAUAGCCCACCCGUUUUUUGGCCAUUUUUCCGCUCGGGGGUUUUGGCACCACGACCUUCGGGCGCUUAUUUUUGGGCGCGGCUUUCCCCGCGGCUUAUUUUUGGCACCCCGAGGCCCCUCGCAAAGUCUCGCCGCAUUCCGAGUCCGGCGGACGAACUUCGCCCGCGCCCCCCACCAAGGCUAUAGCCCACCCGUUUUUUGGCCAGUUUUCCGCUGGGGGGUUUUGGCGCCACGACCUUCGGGCGCUUAUUUUUGGGCGUGGUUUUGGGCGCGGCUUUGCCCGCGGCUUAUUUUUGGCACCCCGAGGCCCCUCGCAAAGUCUCGCCGCAUUCCGAGUCCGGCGGACGAACUUCGCCCGCGUCCCCCACCAAGGCUAUAGCCCACCCGUUUUUUGGCCAUUUUUCCGCUGGGGGGUUUUGGCACCACGACCUUCGCGCGGUUAUUUUUGGGGGCGGCUUUGCCCGCGGCUUAUUUUUGGCACCGCGAGGCCCCUCGCAAAGUCUCGCCGCAUUCCGAGUCCGGCGGACGAACUUCGCCCGCGCCCCCCACCAAGGGUAUAGCCCAUCCGUUUUUUGGCCAUUUUUCCGCUGGGGGGUUUUGGCACCACGACCUUCGGGCGCUUAUUUUUGGGCGCGGCUUUCCCCGCGGCUUAUUUUUGGCACCCCGAGGCCCCUCGCAAAGUCUCGCCGCAUUCCGAGUCCGGCGGACGAACUUCACCCGCGCCCCCCACCAAGGCUAUAGCCCACCCGUUUUUUGGCCAUUUUUCCGCUGGGGGGUUUUGGAACCACAACUU